This 491-nucleotide ribosomal RNA is filed under the name uncultured bacterium. RNAcentral's name for it is "partial 16S ribosomal RNA". It matches the Rfam family "Bacterial small subunit ribosomal RNA", at positions 29 to 506 of the family's 1533-position model. The record is from RNAcentral.
AGUGAACGCUGGCGGUAGGCCUAACACAUGCAAGUCGAACGGCAGCACAGUAAGAGCUUGCUCUUACGGGUGGCGAGUGGCGGACGGGUGAGGAAUACAUCGGAAUCUACUUUUUCGUGGGGGAUAACGUAGGGAAACUUACGCUAAUACCGCAUACGACCUACGGGUGAAAGCAGGGGAUCUUCGGACCUUGCGCGAUUGAAUGAGCCGAUGUCGGAUUAGCUAGUUGGCGGGGUAAAGGCCCACCAAGGCGACGAUCCGUAGCUGGUCUGAGAGGAUGAUCAGCCACACUGGAACUGAGAAACGGUCCAGACUCCUACGGGAGGAAGAAGUGGGGAAUAUUGGACAAUGGGCGCAAGCCUGAUCCAGCCAUACCGCGUGGGUGAAGAAGGCCUUCGGGUUGUAAAGCCCUUUUGUUGGGAAAGAAAAGCAGCAGGUUAAUACCCCGCUGUUCUGACGGUACCCAAAGAAUAAGCACCGGCUAACUUCGU